This is a long non-coding RNA of Lotus japonicus, 1327 nucleotides long. RefSeq lists it as uncharacterized. NCBI's taxonomy places the organism in Eukaryota, Viridiplantae, Streptophyta, Magnoliopsida, Fabales, Fabaceae. The record is from RefSeq and is a predicted model, not a curated record. The transcript is spliced from 9 exons.
AUCCAGCUGGCUGGCCUCCUUUACAGGUACCUACAAGCUCAUAAAACCAUAUUGUAAUUUUGCUUUACGGGUUGUGUGCCUACACCCUACCUCCAGCCUCAACCUUCUUUACAGCUUGGCUGAUUUGAUUUGAUGCACGCCCAAGUUUUUGCUUAUAAAUUGAACCCUUUGAUGGAAGCGAAGAAGAAGUUGCAGACACAUAACAAUCUGGAAAUUGGCUCUUUUUUACUUAUGCUCAACGAAUAUGUGUGUAUUCUACAUAGUUUUAGGUCUUGUGUUAAUAAACAAAAAAAUUGAAUCUUCCAAUUUUUUGGGCAAUUGUGAGUCUGUGACAUAUGAUGAUUCAAAGAACUUGAGGAACAUUAUCUGGCUGGCUCCAUUACCUGGUGAAUUUGCUAAAUCUCACAAUGUGUGGCUGUUGUAGGGUGAUCAAGUUCUUUUUCAUCCAGCAAAAGUAUUUCUUCCAACAAUCCACAAGAGAACAAGUCUUUGAUGAUUUGAAGUCUGGAUCUGAUUUUGAAAUUCCAGUUUCAAAGGAGAGUGGCUUGGCUGAAGUUUAGUUUCCUUUAUUCCUUCAUCAUCGUAGGUUUGUUUCUCAACUAAUGUGGUGAUAAUUCAAUCAAGCAUUCAAUGGAAGGACAACCUCAUGAAUUUGGAAAUCUGACUUCAUCGCAUCCAUGAGCAUAACCAUCACCAUCACCAUCAUUGUUGCAUUUGAAGGCCAUUUAUGCCAGAGAUGUUGGUGUUAGUUUUGGUUAAUCUGAGCAUUUGUUGCACCUUACUCUAAGUAUUGAGGUUGAACCUCUUUUUGGGACUCUGUCUUAAGGGGAUCAUUAAGUGGAAAUAGAAACAAUCAAUUGCAUUUGCUGAUCAGAACAUUGGAAGCAAACAGUAGUAACUGGUAUGGGAUCAAACUUUCUCUUCCAACCCAAUUUUUUCAAAAUCUGAAUGGAUUAUUUCAAUUUCAUUUGUGGUAAUAAAAGUAAUUACAGUUGUUGGUAACUUCAGCAGAUUGUUGUUGGAAACCAACCACUUACCAUCUGUGGAGAGAAAAAGGAGAAAAUGAAGAAAAAUCAAGUUUUUGAACUGUAUUUAGUAACUUUCGAAUUGUGUUAUUUCAAAGGAUAGAAAGGAUGUGCUAAGAGUUUAUUUAGGACAAAUGAGUAGAUAUGUUGAUACAAAGCCUGAAAACAAGAAUGGACAUGUAAAGGAACAACACUGAGGGAUGGAGAAAACAUUAGGCACUUACUUUUGAGGAACUUUUCUUUUAAAAAAAUUCUUUACAUGUGCACUUUAUAGUUUCUAUAAAUUUAUCCUUUAAAUUCUA